GCUGUAAAACUAGCCUACACACCAAAUCACUCUUUUCCCCCCCCCCCCCCCCCAUAAACCAUUUUUACAAGCUAGUAUGGGCGACAGAAAACCUUAUAGCGCAAUAGACAAAGUACUGCAAAGGAAAAAUGAAAUAGAAAUGAAAUAAUUAUAAAAACACAACAAAGCAAAGACUAAAACCUGUACCUUUUGCAUAAUGGUCUAGCAAGUCUUCCCAACAAAAAGAACUUCAGCCGGAUACCCCGAAACCAAACGAGCUACCCCUGGGCAGCCACACGAGCAAACCCAUCUCUGUAGCAAAAGAGUGGGAAGACCCAAAGGUAGAGGCGAAAAACCUAACGAGCUUGGAUAUAGCUGGUUACUUGAGAAAGAAUUUAAGUUCAACUAAAAGUAAUACUAACACCCAAAAGACAAACUAAUACUUUUAUUUUAAUUAACCAGGGGACAGCCCAGUUAAUAAAGGAAACAACCUACAUAAAUGAAUAAAGAUUAUAAACAAACGGGAUAUAGCACAAUAGGCCUAAAAGCAGCCAUUAUGAAAGCGUCAAAGCUCGGCUCCCCAUAAACCUAUAAUUCCAAUAAUAAAUCCUAAUUCACUAAAACAAUCAAGUUAAUCUAUUCUUAGAAAUAUUAUUGCUAGAACAAGUAACAAGGAAACCUCCUCAUAAUAUGCCUGUAAAUCGAAAUGAAACAUCACCGAUAAUUAACGAAACACAGUAUUUUCUUUUACAAGAACCACAAAUUAUACUUAUCGUUAACCCGACACAGGGGUAUUUAAGAAAGAUUUAAGCCCAGGGAAGGAACUCGGCAAAACGGAGCUUCGCCUGUUUACCAAAAACAUCGCCUCUUGAAUAAUAAACAUAAGAGGUACUGCCUGCCCAGUGACACUCGUUCAACGGCCGCGGUAUUAUGACCGUGCAAAGGUAGCGUAAUCACUUGUCUUUUAAAUAAAGACCAGUAUGAAUGGCAAAACGAAAGCUCAACUGUCUCCCCUAGCCAGUCAGUGAAAUUGAUCUCCCCGUGAAGAAGCGGGAAUAUCUAUACAAGACGAGAAGACCCUAUGGAGCUUUAAACCUAUUUAACUUCACUCUAACAAAAUUUAACUGACAAUUUUUAUAUAAAGGUUUUAGGUUGGGGCGACCGCGGGGUAAAGCAAAACCCCCGAGAUGAAUUUAAGCGAAGAAAAACCCUUCAAAGCAACAACAAUAUUGACUAAUUGACCCAAUAAUUGAUCAACGAACCAAGUUACCCUAGGGAUAACAGCGCAAUCCUCCCACAAAGUCCCUAUCGACGGGUGGGUUUACGACCUCGAUGUUGGAUCAGGACCCCCAAAUGGUGCAACCGCUAUUAAAGGUUCGUUUGUUCAACGAUUAAAGUCCUACGUGAUCUGAGUUCAGACCGGAGUAAUCCAGGUCAGUUUCUAUCUGUAAACAGACUUUUCUAGUACGAAAGGACCGAAAAGACAAGGCCUAUAAAUAAUUUAAGCCUUAUCAUUUUUCUCUGAACACAAAUAAAGAGAUAAACUGAGAAAAAAAGAGUCUUAUAUGACUU
This 1551-nucleotide ribosomal RNA is filed under the name Stereochilus marginatus (many-lined salamander). Its description in RNAcentral is "large subunit ribosomal RNA". It matches the Rfam family "Bacterial large subunit ribosomal RNA", at positions 264 to 2829 of the family's 2925-position model. The record is from RNAcentral. Lineage: Eukaryota; Metazoa; Chordata; Amphibia; Caudata; Plethodontidae.